Molecule: non-coding RNA, 73 nt
Organism: Ovis aries (sheep)
Lineage: Eukaryota; Metazoa; Chordata; Mammalia; Artiodactyla; Bovidae
Source: Rfam
UCCCUGGUGGUUCAGUGGCUAAGACUCUGCACUCCCAAUGCAGGGGACCAGGGUUGGAUCCCUGCUCAGAGAG